GUGGAAACUUCAGGCUGUGCCCUGGACCUCCUAGCGGAAUGCAUUCAUUCUCCCUCUGCCCUUGAGAUUAGUUCAGAGGGAAAGUUUGAGGAGCACUGAACCAAUGGAAUCAUUUGAAAUGUGACACUCGUAAUUGACUUGGUUUCAAAUCCUUAGCAGUUGGAGUAUUUUGGCUUAUCUCUAAUGCUAGAAAUACUGUAGCAUUUGUCACUUCAAUCCCAGCCAAGGGUCAAAUGCAGUAUCACAAACAGAAGCUAAAAUAAAUUCUCAAAGUCGUUUUUGUGGUUGACUUAACUUUAUUCACACAGUAGCUAUAGGAGCUGACAAAGACUUGGUCUAACAUUUCUUUCUUCUGGCAGGUUGAUUUAGAGUUUGGUUGCAGACAGUGUGGGUUGAAGGGACGUGUGGUAAGACAGAUCAGAGGCUUGUUACAAUUCUACAUCACCGGGAAUCCAGUUUAAUUUUAACCUUGUGGCUUGUCUAACAUGUUUGCAGUAAGAGUUGGGGGAAUAAAUCUAAUGCUCGCAGGCAAACGCUUGGGAGCCCUUGAGAGCAGCAUCCUUAGAGAACACACAAUCGAUCCUAGCACUGGAGGCACCUCAGAUAUUGUGAGUGCAGGUCAGAAGUGUCUUGGGGUGCCAGGAAAGGCAUCCCAUGACAGCGGUGAGGUCUCAGGGCAUACAGCAGGCAGAGGUGAUCAGGAACAGACUUCUGGGGUACUGGCAAUGAUCUGUUUCUUGACCUGGGUGAUAGUUAUACAGAUGUUGCCUUAUAAUUAUUGUUCAAACUGUAUGCUUUAUGCAUCCUUCACAUUUUCUUCCGUAGUCUCUGAAUUGACAGGCUACCCAUCAUCACACUUCUUUAUUUCCUACAGUUUACCUCUUACUAUUUCUUGCACUUUGAUAGUGAACUUAAAUGUGUUGUUUUAUAUAUUUUUAAAUGAAUAAAACACAAAGAGUUAAAGUUAGAAUUUCUAAUAAAUCCAAUUCAAUCAACAUAUAUACUAGCUGUAAGGGGCGAACUUUACUUUCACACACAUUUAUACCAAAGUUAGGCAGAAAUUCAGACCAGCAAACAUCCAUUUUUCUGCCAUUAAUCCACAAAGACAAUUUUGAUGGCAUUUUAAAUCUUCCCCACAGUCAAGAUCACACCAUAUGAUCCGAAGUGAUUGCCAUAUGGAUGAAAUAAAAUCAAAAAAAGCUCUGAAUAAAUUGGUUAACAUUGACUUUCUUUGAAUGGAGACUUUGAGUAGAUGGAAAACAGACUUUCCUCUCUGAUAUGAAAAAAACAUUUAAGUAGGAAGGGAGAAAAAUACAUCACAUGAGGUGGAAAAAAGGAAAAUAAGAAUCAACAGUAUUCACUCUACAUCUUAAGAAAUAUUGUGUACAAUAGGCAUUGUCCAUUUCAUUAAGAAAUGUAAAUAUUCCUCUGCCUUUCUCGUUUUCAACUUGCAUGCACGCGCACAUACACACACACACUGUAUGCUAUGCACGAAAAUCCUGCCGUUACCUGAAGAGGGUCAAGGACACACCUGGCUGCAGCAGGCUUCUCCUCUCUCUCCAACUUGGGCUCCAACUCGGGCUCCAACUCCUGCUCCUCUCCCGGGCUGUCUGGACUCUGGGGCUCUGGGCAGGGCCUAAAGUAGUCCAAGGGAGGUGGCAAUCACUGUGAUGUCACUGAUGAAACAUCUCAAAGGAACAACCUCCAAAGGUUUGAGGCUAUUUGUGUUUAGGUGGACAUGGAAAUAUGUUGGCCAAGACUCCGUUCCUUUGGCUGCCAAUUUGUAUUAACACACCUGGGACUUAAAAUCUUCUCCUUCCAGUUGACUUUUGGUGCAAUUGAUGUGGGUUUUAAAUUUAUCUUUUACAUCUUCAUGAAUAUCUCUAACAUGUGUUUAAAACAUCAUAAACCAAGAGUGAUAGACUAAUGUUAAGAAAUAAAUGCUGCAUUUGGCUGUGAGACUGCAUUUACACCCUUAGCAUGUGAGGGUGUAAAAAUGUGACUUCAUUGUGCCACAUAUCUUUAACUAUUUGAAAUAUAGACAGUGCUCUGCUUUG
This is a long non-coding RNA of Equus asinus (donkey), 2057 nucleotides long. Lineage: Eukaryota; Metazoa; Chordata; Mammalia; Perissodactyla; Equidae. The record is from Ensembl.